RNAcentral lists this non-coding RNA (93 nucleotides) under uncultured Merdibacter sp. Lineage: Bacteria; Bacillati; Bacillota; Erysipelotrichia; Erysipelotrichales; Erysipelotrichaceae. The record is from RNAcentral.
CAGGGGCGCAUUGUGAAUGAUGCUGAGAUGUGCGUAAGCCGGUCCCUCAUGACCUGAUCUGGGUAGUGCCAGCGUAGGGAGUCUGUUGUUUUU